GGCUGUUCCUUUUGGAGACUCAAGGGGACAGCCUCCUUUCUUGUCUUUCCUGGUUCUAGAGAUGGCCCACAUUCCUUGGCUUCUGGUCUCAUCAUUUGGACCUCUGAUUCUGUCACUAGAUAACGGCCCCUCAGUCUGACCCUCCUGCCUCCCUCAUAUGAGGGGUCUAGUGGUUCCAGGACCCACCUGGAGGACCCAGGAUCGCUUCCCCAUCUCCAGAGCCUAUCUUAACCACAUCUGCACAGUCCCUUUUGCCACAGAAGGUAACAUCUUCAGAGGUCCCAGAGAUCUGUGGACAUCACUGGCAGCUGACAGCGGGGAGUGGGGCAUUUUUCUGCUUAUCACACACCAGCUACUCCCAGGGGCUCUCAGGAAAACCCCUCUGUGCUGGUAAGUUCUCCUUUACAGCUGACUUCCUCUGACACCCCAUAAAGCCCCAAGAAUGGACAUGGCUCUUCAAAGUUGGGGGCAGGACAGGAAUUCCCCAGAGCUCAGCUCACUGCCACCUGAGGUCUAGGUAGGACUUUAGUGAGACCAUCUUGAAGAUGUGGA
RNAcentral lists this long non-coding RNA (552 nucleotides) under Marmota monax (woodchuck). Lineage: Eukaryota; Metazoa; Chordata; Mammalia; Rodentia; Sciuridae. The record is from RNAcentral.